This 460-nucleotide ribosomal RNA is filed under the name uncultured bacterium. RNAcentral's name for it is "partial 16S ribosomal RNA". It matches the Rfam family "Bacterial small subunit ribosomal RNA", at positions 338 to 795 of the family's 1533-position model. The record is from RNAcentral.
CCUACGGGUGGCUGCAGUGAGGAAUAUUGGUCAAUGGGCGCGAGCCUGAACCAGCCAAGUAGCGUGAAGGAUGACUGCCCUACGGGUUGUAAACUUCUUUUAUACAGGAAUAAAGUGAGGCACGUGUGCCUUUUUGUAUGUACUUUAUGAAUAAGGAUCGGCUAACUCCGUGCCAGCAGCCGCGGUGAUACGGAGGAUCCGAGCGUUAUCCGGAUUGAUUGGGUUUAAAGGGAACGUAGCCGGGUUGUUAAGUCAGUUGUGAAAGUUUGCGGCUCAACCGUAAAAUUGCAAUUGAUACUGGGAGUCUUGAGUACAGUUGAGGUAGGCGGAAUUCGUGGUGUAGCGGUGAAAUGCUUAGAUAUCACGAAGAACUCCGAUUGCGAAGGCAGCUUACUAAACUGCAACUGACAUUGAUGCUCGAAAGUGUGGGUAUCAAACAGGAUUAGAUACCCGUGUAGUC